AGCGACUUGGCGCAGAGGUUAGCGUGCUCGGCUCAUAACCGGGAGGUCCAAGGUUCGAUCCCUUGAGUCGCUAUCA
RNAcentral lists this transfer RNA (76 nucleotides) under Paracoccaceae bacterium. RNAcentral describes it as "Rhodobacteraceae bacterium tRNA-Met". It matches the Rfam family "tRNA". From Rfam's summary of the family: Transfer RNA (tRNA) molecules are approximately 80 nucleotides in length. Their secondary structure includes four short double-helical elements and three loops (D, anti-codon, and T loops). Further hydrogen bonds mediate the characteristic L-shaped molecular structure. tRNAs have two regions of fundamental functional importance: the anti-codon, which is responsible for specific mRNA codon recognition, and the 3' end, to which the tRNAs corresponding amino acid is attached (by aminoacyl-tRNA synthetases). tRNAs cope with the degeneracy of the genetic code in two manners: having more than one tRNA (with a specific anti-codon) for a particular amino acid; and 'wobble' base-pairing, i.e. permitting non-standard base-pairing at the 3rd anti-codon position. The record is from RNAcentral. Lineage: Bacteria; Pseudomonadati; Pseudomonadota; Alphaproteobacteria; Rhodobacterales; Paracoccaceae.